Molecule: long non-coding RNA, 532 nt
Organism: Quercus lobata
Lineage: Eukaryota; Viridiplantae; Streptophyta; Magnoliopsida; Fagales; Fagaceae
Exons: 4
Source: RefSeq, a predicted model, not a curated record
AUUAAUGGGGGCAGCGAAGGAUCUACUGUACAAAAGAAAAGAGGUCGAGGAAAGGCUAAGGGUGUUUAUCUAGGUCAUAACCACAAGUGUGAGAUACAUGACAGAAGAUUCAUAGAAAAGAAAAUACCCCAAGAGAUUACUAUUAAGUUCCACCAAAACAUUACUGGGCCAUGGACAACUUUUUCAAAAUACCCUAAAGAACAACUAAAUAUGCUUUAUGAGUUAUACAAAGAAGCACAAUUUGAGACAGAUGACUUAGUUCUUGAGAGGUAGGUAUUUGAUGAGCAUGUCAAACGACGCUAUCCUGAUUGGAUGUGGCACCUUAGAGAAGAAUGUGUAACAAAUAAAAUUCCCCAAGAUGAAUGGUACAAGCAUCCCCCAGAUGAUGUAACUCCAACUAUUUGGAAAGAGAUGUGCAACAAAUGGAAUAAUCGCAAGUGAAAGGAAAAGAGUGAUAGAAACAAAAGAAAUCGCAGAAGGAGAUCAAAAUAUUACAGACCAAUGCUGGAGAAGGAAAUCAAAAUGUGGAUGA